CAGCUUCUUAAACAAAAUUCAAACCCAAUAUUUUUUAGGUAGAUAAAAAUACAAACAAAAAUAUAAUAGGGUGAAGAAAUUAUUUCACAACAUAGUAGAAAUAAAGGAUAUGACCAGCAGUUCCAUAACAAGAUGGAUACACAUUCGCAUGUGUUUACAAGCACAAAUAUUCAUGCACAAAGAUAAUUUUUUUUUUCAAAAUUGAAAGUUAUAUUUAUCUGCAAAGGCGAAAGCAAAACUACAAGAACAUAAAUCACAUAUCCCUGAAAUCAGAAUAGAUGAAAGAGAAAGAGAUGAAGGUGAAGUAAAAGGCUGAAUUUGCACUUUUUUUAGUGCAAUAAAAUUGGAGCUUCCCAUUAAGAAUUUUGGAUACCCAAACUUGAACUCUGGAAAUUAAAACCUUGGCCAAUCACCAAGGAAAAACAAAGUGAUUUUUGUGACUUUUCUUGUGAGAUUCUUCUUAAACGUCCAAAUCUAUCUCUUUUUUUUUCUUGAAUCUAUAAAAAGGAAUUUGGUGAUUUUUGAAUACUUCUUUUUUCUCCCAAUUUUUAUCUUGUUCAACUUGUUUCUCACCCUCCUUUUCUCUAAUUUCAACCUCUCCCUUGAGAAAGUGAAAAGUUUGGACAUUUAUAGAUGAAUUUUAGAUUUGAAAAUUCGGAUCUGAAAUAAGAAUUUUUGUAAAAUUUGAGAUUUGAAAUUUGAAUUCAAAUAUCUCCAUAGAAUCCAUUUCCUCCAUAUCUUUGGCUCUAAUGAUGAAUUUCAGACUGAUUUUAUAUCCUUUCAUCAAUUUGGUGACUGGUUUUCUGUUGUUAUUGUGAUUCAUGGAUUUUGAGACUAAAAAUAGGGAGAAUCUUAGUAGAUGACGAUAGAUAUGGCAGUGUCCAUAGCUAGCGCGAAUGCUAAGAUUUCAAUUUUAGCAGUGCUAAAGGAGAGGCGAGGGAGAGAGGAGGAGGGUCAGUUGUUUGUGUUGCUUUUUAAGGAAAGAGGUGGUGACCAGUCAUAAGAAAGACAUGUAUGAUGUAUUUGAGAUUUACUAAAAUUUCACUGAAUUAAAAAUAACUCUAGGAUUGAAAAAUAUUUUAUGGUUGAA
RNAcentral lists this long non-coding RNA (1090 nucleotides) under Capsicum annuum. RNAcentral's name for it is "long non-coding RNA (CANN_LNC017493)". The record is from RNAcentral. Lineage: Eukaryota; Viridiplantae; Streptophyta; Magnoliopsida; Solanales; Solanaceae.